This 107-nucleotide ribosomal RNA is filed under the name Danio rerio (zebrafish). Lineage: Eukaryota; Metazoa; Chordata; Actinopteri; Cypriniformes; Danionidae. The record is from RNAcentral.
GCCGGCAGCUAGCUCUCUCAGAUGGUCGCCUACUAAAGCUAAGCAGGGCUGCGCCCGAUUAAUACCUGGAUGGGAGACCACAUGGGAAAGCCAGGUUACUGCUGGAA